Molecule: long non-coding RNA, 728 nt
Filed under: Felis catus (domestic cat)
Lineage: Eukaryota; Metazoa; Chordata; Mammalia; Carnivora; Felidae
Description: lncRNA (ENSFCAG00000049703.1)
Source: RNAcentral
CUGUCCUGCAUUUGGUCUUCAUGACUGUUAUCACCGGGAAGAAACCCGAGCCUAGCCUGUGACAGACCCGGGACUAGGACCGACACCUACAUAUUCGAAGUUCUCCAGGGGUCAGGUCAAGGAAAGAAGAGAGAUGGCAGAGAGGUCAAGGAAGGUCCGAAACCAGGUGGCCAAGGGGGCAGGAAAAAUACCGACAGAGAGGUGAAGCAAUUCCCAAGUCUUCCCAGCAGAGGGCGAUAGUACCCCAGAGCUCCGCAAACCUGCCCAGGCCACGCCCCCUGCCCGGCCCGGCCCGGCUCCUCCCGGGACCCGGGAGCCACAGGGACCCUUCCCGGGUUUCUAAAGGGUCUGAAGGGCGAGAGGAUGGGCGGCGGGUGGGGUGUGGCAAGAGAAUAAGGGAGGAUCCGUCGGAGAGGUUGCCCGGGGCAUGGUGUGGGUGUCUGCAACGGGGUCAAGUGUGCUGGGGCGCCGCGCGUCUGCGCCGGAAGAGCGAGCGCGUAAAGCGAGCUGGAGCUUCCAGCCAAACACAACCCAGAGUCCCCGUCUCCACCCCCACCCCAGCUAAUGAUGGCUGCACCCCCAAGCUGGUACCUGCCUCUGCAAAAUCAGCCCUCAGCCUCUCGGCUUCAGGGUUAGCAGACGUGAUUCCUCCCCACUUCCCCACUCCAGCCCAGUCUCUAAGCCUUCAGACUAAGUGGGGUUCCACGCAGAGAAGGUAUGCUGGUUGA